CCCUUAGAUGUUCUGGGCCGCACGCGCGCUACACUGAUGCAUUCAACGAGUCUAAAACCUGGUCUGAUUGGGCUGGGUAAUCUUUUGAAUGUGCAUCGUGAUUGGGAUAGAUGAUUGCAAUUCUUCAUCUUCAACGAGGAAUGCCUAGUAAACGCAAGUCAUCAGCUUGCAUUGAUUACGUCCCUGCCCUUUGUACACACCGCCCGUCGCUCCUACCGAUUGAAUGUUCCGAUGAAUACCAUGGACUGAGAGUAUGAAUGGGUUCGCCUAUUUCUGCUUCUCGGGAAGUGGAGUAAAUCUUAACAUUUAGAGGAAGGAGAAGUCGUAACA
This 330-nucleotide ribosomal RNA is filed under the name uncultured eukaryote. RNAcentral's name for it is "partial 18S ribosomal RNA". It matches the Rfam family "Eukaryotic small subunit ribosomal RNA", at positions 1470 to 1796 of the family's 1831-position model. The record is from RNAcentral.